UACGGAGGGUGCGAGCGUUAAUCGGAAUUACUGGGCGUAAAGCGCGCGUAGGCGGUUUAUUAAGUCAGCUGUGAAAGCCCCGGGCUUAACCUGGGAACUGCAGUUGAUACUGGUCGACUAGAGUGCAAGAGAGGGAGGUAGAAUUCCAUGUGUAGCGGUGAAAUGCGUAGAUAUGUGGAGGAAUACCGGUGGCGAAGGCGACUGCCUGGCCCAAUACUGACGCUGAGGUGCGAAAGCGUGGGUAGCGAACAGG
This 253-nucleotide ribosomal RNA is filed under the name uncultured bacterium. RNAcentral describes it as "partial 16S ribosomal RNA". It matches the Rfam family "Bacterial small subunit ribosomal RNA", at positions 524 to 776 of the family's 1533-position model. The record is from RNAcentral.